UACGGAGGGUGCAAGCGUUACUCGGAAUCACUGGGCGUAAAGCGCGCGCAGGCGGCUAGAUAAGUUGGAAGUGAAAUCCUAUGGCUCAACCAUAGAACUGCUUCCAAAACUGUUUAGCUAGAGUCUGGGAGGGGAAGAUGGAAUUAGUAGUGUAGGGGUAAAAUCCGUAGAGAUUACUAGGAAUACCAAAAGCGAAGGCGAUCUUCUGGAACAGUACUGACGCUGAGGCGCGAAAGCGUGGGGAGCAAACAGGAUUAGAUACCCUGGUAGUCCACGCCCUAAACGAUGAAUGUUAGUCGUCGGGACUCUAGUAGUUUCGGUGAUGCAGUUAACACAUUAAACAUUCCGCCUGGGGAGUACGGUCGCAAGAUUAAAACUCAAAGGAAUAGACGGGGACCCGCACAAGUGGUGGAGCAUGUGGUUUAAUUCGAAGAUACGCGAAGAACCUUACCUAGCCUUGACAUAUUUUAGAACUCCGCAGAGAUGUAGAGGUGCCUUCGGGAGCUAAUAUACAGGUGCUGCACGGCUGUCGUCAGCUCGUGUCGUGAGAUGUUGGGUUAAGUCCCGCAACGAGCGCAACCCUCGUUCUUAGUUACUAACGGUUCGGCCGAGGACUCUAAGAAGACUGCCUUCGUAAGGAGGAGGAAGGUGAGGACGACGUCAAGUCAUCAUGGCCCUUACGGCUAGGGCAACACACGUGCUACAAUGGUUAGGACAAUGAGACGCAAUACCGCGAGGUGGAGCAAAUCUAUAAACCUAAUCUCAGUUCGGAUUGUAGUCUGCAACUCGACUACAUGAAGCUGGAAUCACUAGUAAUCGUAGAUCAGCUAUGCUACGGU
Molecule: ribosomal RNA, 839 nt
Filed under: uncultured Sulfurovum sp.
Lineage: Bacteria; Pseudomonadati; Campylobacterota; Epsilonproteobacteria; Campylobacterales; Sulfurovaceae
Description: bacterial SSU rRNA
Rfam family: Bacterial small subunit ribosomal RNA
Source: RNAcentral